UUGCUUAGACAGCACAUACACUGAAAUUGGAGCGAUUCAGAGCAGAUUGGUAUGGCCCCGGCAGAAGGAGGACUAGCAAAUUUGCUACAUAGUCCAUACUUUU
This 103-nucleotide small nuclear RNA is filed under the name Procavia capensis (Cape rock hyrax). The record is from RNAcentral. Lineage: Eukaryota; Metazoa; Chordata; Mammalia; Hyracoidea; Procaviidae.